Molecule: ribosomal RNA, 442 nt
Filed under: uncultured bacterium
Lineage: Bacteria
Description: partial 16S ribosomal RNA
Rfam family: Bacterial small subunit ribosomal RNA
Source: RNAcentral
CCUACGGGGGGCUGCAGUGGGGAAUAUUGGGCAAUGGGCGCAAGCCUGACCCAGCAACGCCGCGUGAAGGAAGAAGGCUUUCGGGUUGUAAACUUCUUUUGUCAGGGAAGAGUAGAAGACGGUACCUGACGAAUAAGCCAUGGCUAAAUACGUGCGAGCAGCCGAGAUAAUACGGAGGAGGCAAGCGUUGUCCGGAUUUACUGGGUGUAAAGGGCGUGUAGCCGGGUUGACAAGUCAGAUGUGAAAUCCUGCGGCUUAACCGCAGAACUGCAUUUGAAACUGUUGGUCUUGAGUACUGGAGAGGCAGAUGGAAUUCGUAUUGUAGCGGUGAAAUGCGUAGAUAUUAGGAGGAACACCGGUGGCGAAGGCGGUCUGCUGGACAGCAACUGACGGUGAUGCGCGAAAGCGUGGGGAGCAAACAGGAUUAGAUACCCGUGUAGUC